Molecule: ribosomal RNA, 253 nt
Filed under: uncultured bacterium
Lineage: Bacteria
Description: partial 16S ribosomal RNA
Rfam family: Bacterial small subunit ribosomal RNA
Source: RNAcentral
UACGUAGGGUGCAAGCGUUAAUCGGAAUUACUGGGCGUAAAGCGUGCGCAGGCGGUUGUGCAAGACAGAUGUGAAAUCCCCGGGCUUAACCUGGGAACUGCAUUUGUGACUGCACGGCUAGAGUGUGUCAGAGGGGGGUAGAAUUCCACGUGUAGCAGUGAAAUGCGUAGAUAUGUGGAGGAAUACCGGUGGCGAAGGCGGCAUCCUGGACCGACAUUGACGCUGAGGAGCGAAAGCCAGGGGAGCAAACGGG